CCUACGGGUGGCUGCAGUGGGGAAUAUUGGACAAUGGGGGCAACCCUGAUCCAGCCAUGCCGCGUGUGUGAAGAAUGCCCUCGGGUUGUAAAGCACUUUCAGUGAGGAAGAACGCCUGGUGGUUAAUACCCAUCAGGAAAGACAUCACUCACAGAAGAAGCACCGGCUAACUCCGUGCCAGCAGCCGCGGUAAUACGGAGGGUGCGAGCGUUAAUCGGAAUUACUGGGCGUAAAGCGCGCGUAGGUGGCUUGAUAAGCCGGUUGUGAAAGCCCCGGGCUCAACCUGGGAACGGCAUCCGGAACUGUCAAGCUAGAGUGCAGGAGAGGAAGGUAGAAUUCCCGGUGUAGCGGUGAAAUGCGUAGAGAUCGGGAGGAAUACCAGUGGCGAAGGCGGCCUUCUGGACUGACACUGACACUGAGGUGCGAAAGCGUGGGUAGCAAACAGGAUUAGAUACCCUAGUAGUC
RNAcentral lists this ribosomal RNA (465 nucleotides) under Vreelandella stevensii. RNAcentral's name for it is "partial 16S ribosomal RNA". It matches the Rfam family "Bacterial small subunit ribosomal RNA", at positions 338 to 795 of the family's 1533-position model. The record is from RNAcentral. Lineage: Bacteria; Pseudomonadati; Pseudomonadota; Gammaproteobacteria; Oceanospirillales; Halomonadaceae.